UGUAAGCGUAUACCAAAGUUGUUGCAGUUACAACGCUCGUAGUCGGAAUUUGGCAGUUCCGGAUGUGUGCACGUCGUGUGCGCACUUCGCGGGGAUUGCAUUUGUGGUCUUGCGUAGGAUGAGGCACUUUUAUUAGUGAACGUCCUCACGCAACCACUUUUUACUGUGAGAAAAUCAGAGUGCUCAAAGCAGGCAUUUGCCGUGAAUGUAUUAGCAUGGAAUAAUAGAAUAGGACUUGGUUCUAUUUUGUUGGUUUGUUGGGACUGAGUAAUGAUUAAGAGGGACAGUUGGGGGCAUUUGUAUUUCGGUGCUAGAGGUGAAAUUCUUAGAUUACCGAAAGACAAACUGCUGCGAAAGCGUCUGCCAAGGAUGUUUUCAUUGA
This 382-nucleotide ribosomal RNA is filed under the name uncultured eukaryote. RNAcentral's name for it is "partial 18S ribosomal RNA". It matches the Rfam family "Eukaryotic small subunit ribosomal RNA", at positions 592 to 976 of the family's 1831-position model. The record is from RNAcentral.